GAAAUAUUCGUGGUGCAAACUUUUGUUAUAAAUAGAAGUCAGUCUGAUAAGAAAUAAAUGACAAAAAAUUAAGACAAUAGUAGUGUACCGCUGUUCAAUUGUCAUAAAUCGAUUUAACUCAAACAAAUCCAUGUCAAAAACCAAAACUGAGAGAAAGACAUCUAUAAAGACAACUAUAAGAGGAAACAAAACGGAACAACAAAAGCACUGAACUGCUACAAAAACAAACGCCAACAUACAUAGGAACGGACUAUCUGAUAACAACUGCCAUAUCCCUGACUCGGUACAGGACAUUUAAAAAAAAGUGGGUUGAACCACUUAUAUGACAAUGUUAAAAAAUACCGCUAAAAUGACAACAUUACGUGAGACAAAUAAAUGCAAGAACAUUCAGGACAGAGAAAUACAUAAAUAAAUAAUAUUACAGUUCAUUUCAACAUGUAAACCAC
Molecule: long non-coding RNA, 446 nt
Filed under: Mytilus galloprovincialis (Mediterranean mussel)
Lineage: Eukaryota; Metazoa; Mollusca; Bivalvia; Mytilida; Mytilidae
Source: RNAcentral